GCCUGGUUAUUCAUAACCCUUUGUUGAUCCGACUCUGUUGCCUCCGGGGCGACCCUGCCUUCGGGCGGGGGCUCCGGGUGGACACUUCAAACUCUUGCGUAACUUUGCAGUCUGAGUAAACUUAAUUAAUAAAUUAAAACUUUUAACAACGGAUCUCUUGGUUCUGGCAUCGAUGAAGAACGCAGCGAAAUGCGAUAAGUAAUGUGAAUUGCAGAAUUCAGUGAAUCAUCGAAUCUUUGAACGCACAUUGCGCCCCCUGGUAUUCCGGGGGGCAUGCCUGUUCGAGCGUCAUUUCACCACUCAAGCCUCGCUUGGUAUUGGGCAACGCGGUCCGCCGCGUGCCUCAAAUCGUCCGGCUGGGUCUUCUGUCCCCUAAGCGUUGUGGAAACUAUUCGCUAAAGGGUGUUCGGGAGGCUACGCCGUAAAACAACCCCAUUUCUAAGGUUGACCUCGGAUCAGGUAGGGAUACCCGCUGAACUUAAGCAUAUCAAUAAGCGGAGGAAAAGAAACCAACAGGGAUUGCUCUAGUAACGGCGAGUGAAGCAGCAAUAGCUCAAAUUUGAAAUCUGGCGUCUUCGACGUCCGAGUUGUAAUUUGUAGAGGAUGCUUCUGAGUGGCCACCGACCUAAGUUCCUUGGAACAGGACGUCAUAGAGGGUGAGAAUCCCGUAUGCGGUCGGAAAGGCGCUCUAUACGUAGCUCCUUCGACGAGUCGAGUUGUUUGGGAAUGCAGCUCUAAAUGGGAGGUAAAUUUCUUCUAAAGCUAAAUAUUGGCCAGAGACCGAUAGCGCACAAGUAGAGUGAUCGAAAGAUGAAAAGCACUUUGGAAAGAGAGUUAAAAAGCACGUGAAAUUGUUAAAAGGGAAGGGAUUGCAACCAGACUUGCUCGCGGUGUUCCGCCGGUCUUCUGACCGGUCUACUCGCCGCGUUGCAGGCCAGCAUCGUCUGGUGCCGCUGGAUAAGACUUGAGGAAUGUAGCUCCCUCGGGAGUGUUAUAGCCUCUUGUGAUGCAGCGAGCGCC
RNAcentral lists this ribosomal RNA (1020 nucleotides) under fungal endophyte. RNAcentral's name for it is "eukaryotic LSU rRNA". The stretch from base 446 to 1020 matches the Rfam family "Eukaryotic large subunit ribosomal RNA", at positions 1 to 582 of the family's 3401-position model. The record is from RNAcentral. Lineage: Eukaryota; Fungi.